Molecule: long non-coding RNA, 2273 nt
Organism: Passer domesticus (house sparrow)
Lineage: Eukaryota; Metazoa; Chordata; Aves; Passeriformes; Passeridae
Exons: 5
Source: RefSeq, a predicted model, not a curated record
UGCCCAUUUUAAGCCUGCAAUGCUCUGCAGGUACUCUGGCUCCCUGUUAAAGGCUCCAGGUCUCCUCAGUGAGGAGGAUUUUCAUCUACUCCCCUUUAUCACGUGUUCAUGGCACAUAAAGAAAACUUUGAGGCUAUUUGUUGACAUAAAAGCAGACCUGAUCUGAAGUGGUGUGGGCUGUUUGAGCAGCUCAGUGCUGACAGGGACCAAAUCCAGUGACCAGGACCGACCCUAUGGAGUCACCCUGGUGAAACAGCACAGAAUGCAGACAAUCCCCUGCACACAAGGAAACAGCCCCAGUGAUCACAGACCGAGUUUUCAGUCUGACAUGUACUUGUACUUGGUGGUGCAUGAGCAAAUAAACCAGCAGCUUCAUACCUUAUAAAAUAACAAAUGAUUAGCCACAAAGAGGAGUCAUCAUCCUUAAGGAACAGGCCUGCUUGGGAAGGAAAGGCUGUCUGGAGGCUGCAGGGCACAGCACUAUCCUCAGGUGCUUUGAGAUGUCUGAGCAAGGUUCCUGGCACUAAAGGAGGAGAGAAAAAAAUGUGCUUUUCAUGCCGAGGGCUGUGUGCCACUAGAAUUCAGCUUGCCUGCUAGCCCAGGCUUUCUCAAGCUUGGCUUAAUAAAAUCCAGAUCUCAUCUAAUGAGUUCAGAGGGUGCUUCAGAAUGUCUCAUCGUGGAAAGUGCUGAUUUUGCACACCAAGCCAAGGAAGGUUUAUGGCACCAAAAGAGUCUCCAAAGUCUUUAUCCUCACUGACCUGAAGGAGAAAAAGCUCCCUGGGCUGUUAGCAGCACCUCUCCUCCUCCUGCAGCACAUUGUGACUUGGCUUUUAUUGCAACCAUGCCUUUCCUCAUGACACAACUUCUGUGACAGUGCUCCAGCUCUGCCAUGGCAUUCCUGGGCAUUUCAGCUGGGCCUGCCUUUGCCCAAAUCAAGGGAAUCUAACCCGUGGGUUUGGGACAGGCACUGCUUUAGCCCACACAGUGGUGGUUUCUUUGCUUUCUUCUGGAUUUUUUUCUCUCUUGGUCACUCAGUUGCUGGCUUUAAAUGAAAAAGGGACAUUUGGAAAGGCAGAGUGGCAGCUCUGAGCCAUUAUAGUUGACAAUUAAAAGUGCAACAUCUCUUCCAUCAUGCAGGGCUUUAGGUUCAAGCCUGCAGAGGAAAAGGGGUUACUUCCAAAGCCCUGAAUCCCUUUAAAUAAAUAUCAGCCAGCAUUUGCCUUGCAGUCAGCAGGGACUGAGGUGAGCCAAGCAGUGGCAGCAAUGCUCUCCCUAAUCAAGCAUCCUUCUCUCUCUUCAAUCAGGUGGAGCAAGUGGCAUGUUGACUUGCUGGCUGGGGCUGGAUCCAGCCCUGCUCCUGCAGGUUUGCAGUGCCUGGGGCAGCCAUCUGUGGGGCAGCAGCACUGCUGGGCCACCUCUGCCCCCUAAUCUCCCUGCUCCCAUCCACACGUGCUGUCCUGAUACCGACAGCCGGUCCCACGCGGGCAUCGUGCCAGCAGUGACUUUACAGGCUUUGUGGCAGAGAUUAUUUAAAGGAGAUUAACCCUUCUAAACCCCUUAGAUUUUAAUUAUUUCUGUAUGUAUUUAUAAAACCUGCAGUCUGCUAGUUCCAGGGCACAACUGCCCCAGUCCCCAUCCUUAACCUGGAUUCAUGAAUGUACAACGCACCCAUGGACAGGGCUCCUUGGAUUUAUUUAUUUAUCUAUUUAUUACCAUUCUGGAACAAUUCACAUCUGGGAUGAAAAUUAAACAUUAUGAUUUCAAAUUGUAAAAAAGAGCUAAUAAUUUGAACCACUUUAAAAUACUAAUAGGGCAUUAAUUGAAUUGUUUGAAUCUAUGAGGCAGCUCUGGCUAAUUAUUUUGGUUAGGGCAGCUCUGUCAUUAAUGCCUCCCCACUGCCCAUAUUGUGAGCACACUGGGACACACUGUCUCUCUGAAGACAGGACUAUCUGUAAGGGUGAUGUACUGGAAGCCAGGAGGGGGAAGGACUGUUUCUUUCAUUCAGUCUCUGGCAAGUUUAUUAUAUGUACAAUAAUGUUAUGAGACCCUGUAGUCUAGAAAACUGUCAUGACUAGGAGCUGCUGGUUAUAGAAGGGAGAAAAAAAGGGUGUGCACUUCCAUCCUUUCAUGCUUUCUCUCCUGUUAGUCAUGUUAGUGCUGGGCUAAUUAGCCUGGUAGAGUUAAGGAGUGAUGGAGGGAGCGUUUCCACUCUGCACGUGAGCUGUAAAACCCAAAUAAAACUGGAAAUACCUUGUUUCUGCUUCACAGCACAA